AAUCUACUCUACAGUACUUUUGCUGUAAUUUUUUUUCACUAAAAUAUCCCCUACAGGCUAGUAAGUGACAAAAAGUCAGGACACUUUGAACUUCACACUCAGGGAUACAAUGCUGGAUAAUUUGGUCUGGGCAAAUUUUAAACAACUUUGAUUCUUCUCAAAAAUAAUAUUUUACUUGGAUAAAGAAUUUACUUUUAUCUUGCUAGGUCCAGU
This 213-nucleotide long non-coding RNA is filed under the name Elaeis guineensis (African oil palm). Its description in RNAcentral is "long non-coding RNA (EGUI_LNC023108)". The record is from RNAcentral. Lineage: Eukaryota; Viridiplantae; Streptophyta; Magnoliopsida; Arecales; Arecaceae.